This 193-nucleotide ribosomal RNA is filed under the name uncultured Banisveld landfill bacterium BVC32. RNAcentral's name for it is "partial 16S ribosomal RNA". It matches the Rfam family "Bacterial small subunit ribosomal RNA", at positions 338 to 524 of the family's 1533-position model. The record is from RNAcentral.
CCUACGGGUGGCAGCAGUCGAGAAUUUUUCACAAUGGGCGCAAGCCUGAUGGAGCGACGCCGCGUGGGGGAUGAAUGGCUUCGGCCCGUAAACCCCUGUCAUUUGCGAUCAAGGCGGCCGGCCUAAUACGCCGGCCGUUGAUAGUAGCGAAAGAGGAAGGGACGGCUAACUCUGUGCCAGCAGCCGCGGUAAU